This 178-nucleotide ribosomal RNA is filed under the name uncultured bacterium. Its description in RNAcentral is "partial 16S ribosomal RNA". It matches the Rfam family "Bacterial small subunit ribosomal RNA", at positions 1315 to 1500 of the family's 1533-position model. The record is from RNAcentral.
ACUCCGUGAAGCUGGAUUCGCUAGUAAUCGCGCAUCAGCCAUGGCGCGGUGAAUACGUUCCCGGGCCUUGUACACACCGCCCGUCAAGCCAUGGAAGCCGGGGGUGCCUGAAGUGUGCAGCCGCAAGGAGCGCCCUAAGGUAAAACCGGUGACUGGGGCUAAGUCGUAACAAGGUACC